This 29-nucleotide non-coding RNA is filed under the name Homo sapiens (human). The record is from RNAcentral. Lineage: Eukaryota; Metazoa; Chordata; Mammalia; Primates; Hominidae.
UGAACUUGACCUGAAACUAGUUUCCUUCA